Molecule: ribosomal RNA, 460 nt
Filed under: uncultured bacterium
Lineage: Bacteria
Description: partial 16S ribosomal RNA
Rfam family: Bacterial small subunit ribosomal RNA
Source: RNAcentral
CCUACGGGUGGCAGCAGUGAGGAAUAUUGGUCAAUGGACGAGAGUCUGAACCAGCCAAGUAGCGUGAAGGAUGACUGCCCUCUGGGUUGUAAACUUCUUUUAUAUGGGAAUAAAACGUUCCACGUGUGGGAUUUUGUAUGUACCAUAUGAAUAAGGAUCGGCUAACUCCGUGCCAGCAGCCGCGGUAAUACGGAGGAUCCGAGCGUUAUCCGGAUUUAUUGGGUUUAAAGGGAGCGUAGGUGGAUUUUUAAGUCAGUUGUGAAAGUUUGCGGCUCAACCGGAAAAUUGCAGUUGAAACUGGCAGUCUUGAGUACAGUAGAGGUGGGCGGAAUUCGUGGUGUAGCGGUGAAAUGCUUAGAUAUCACGAAGAACUCCGAUGGCGAAGGCAGUUCACUGGACUGCAACUGACACUGAGGCUCGAAAGUGUGGGUAUCAAACAGGAUUAGAUACCCGGGUAGUC